UGGCCUGCUCACUGAAAUUUAAAGAGCUGCAGUAUAUUAACUGUACAAAGGUAGCAUAAUCAUUAGUUUUUUAAUUGAGGACUGGUAUGAAAGGUUUGACGAGAAUUGACUGUCUUUAUUAUAAAAAAUUGAAAUUAAUUUCUUUGUGAAAAAGCAAAGAUAAAAUAAAGGGACAAGAAGACCCUGUUAAGCUUUAAUUUAAUUAGUUAUUUUUGAGCUAUAAGUUUAGAUUAUUAAGUUAUAUUUUAUUUGGGGCGAAUGAUUUAUAAACAAUAUUUUAUUAUUAAUAGGUUGGUUAAAAUUUAAGUUUGAUCCAAGGUGGUUGAAUGGAAGAGUAAGCUACUAUAGGGAUAACAGCGUUAUAUUUUUUGAGAGUUCAUAUUGACAAAAAUGUUUGCGACCUCGAUGUUGGAUCAAGAUGUCUUAAUAAUGAAGAGGUUAUUUGGAGAUGGUCUGUUCGACCAGUAAUAUCUUACGUGAUCUGAGUUCAAACCGGAGA
This 499-nucleotide ribosomal RNA is filed under the name Glyphiulus quadrohamatus. RNAcentral describes it as "partial large subunit ribosomal RNA". It matches the Rfam family "Bacterial large subunit ribosomal RNA", at positions 1854 to 2622 of the family's 2925-position model. The record is from RNAcentral. Lineage: Eukaryota; Metazoa; Arthropoda; Diplopoda; Spirostreptida; Cambalopsidae.